GUGGAGGUUUUGCUGGUUCGUCCUUUAAAAGGGAUUUAUCUGGCUCCUCUUAAAUGUAUUAGUGGAACCUGUUUGUUGGACCAUCCUUGGUGUGAUAAUUAUCUACGCUUUGGUUAAUCCAGCGCUCUUUUCAAUCUUCAGAACUUGUUCUGGUUGGGGUACUUGCAUUAACUUGCUUCGCCUGUAAUGAAAGGGAAGGAUUUGCUUUCUAAUCGUCCAGUGGACAAUUUAUUGACUAUUUGACCUCAAAUCAGGUAGGACUACCCGCUGAACUUAAGCAUAUCAAUAAGCGGAGGAAAAGAAACUAACAAGGAUUCCCCUAGUAACUGCGAGUGAAGAGGGAAAAGCUCAAAUUUAAAAUCUGGCAGUCUUUGAUUGUCCGAGUUGUAAUUUAGAGAAGUGUUACCAGUGUUGGCCCGUGUACAAGUCUCUUGGAAUGGAGCGUCAUAGAGGGUGAGAAUCCCGUCUUUGACACGGACUACCAAUGCAUUGUGGUGCGCUCUCGAAGAGUCGAGUUGUUUGGGAAUGCAGCUCUAAAUGGGUGGUAAAUUCCAUCUAAAGCUAAAUAUUGGGGAGAGACCGAUAGCGAACAAGUACCGUGAGGGAAAGAUGAAAAGAACUUUGGAAAGAGAGUUAAACAGUACGUGAAAUUGCUAAAAGGGAAACGCUUGAAGUCAGUCGCGUUGUCCAGGGAUCAGCCUUCCUUUUGGUUGGUGUACUUCCUGGUUGACGGGUCAACAUCAGUUUUGACCAGUGGAUAAGAACUGGAGGAAUGUGGCAUCUUCGGGUGUGUUAUAGCCUCUUGUUGUAUACAUUGGUUGGGACUGAGGAACUCAGCACGCCGUAAGGCCGGGUUUUUAACCACGUUCGUGCUUAGGAUGUUGGCAUAAUGGCUUUAAUCGACCCGUCUUGAAACACGGACCAAGGAGUCUAACAUGCCUGCGAGUGUUUGGGUGGAAAACCCGAGCGCGUAAUGAAAGUGAAAGUUAGGAUCUCUGUCGUGGAGAGCACUGACGCCCGGUCCAGACCUUUUGUGACGGUACCGCGGUUGAGCAUGUAUGUUGGGACCCGAAAGAUGGUGAACUAUGCCUGAAUAGGGUGAAGCCAGAGGAAACUCUGGUGGAGGCUCGUAGCGAUUCUGACGUGCAAAUCGAUCGUCGAAUUUGGGUAU
This 1171-nucleotide ribosomal RNA is filed under the name Gymnopanella nothofagi. RNAcentral's name for it is "eukaryotic LSU rRNA". The stretch from base 241 to 1171 matches the Rfam family "Eukaryotic large subunit ribosomal RNA", at positions 1 to 918 of the family's 3401-position model. The record is from RNAcentral. Lineage: Eukaryota; Fungi; Basidiomycota; Agaricomycetes; Agaricales; Omphalotaceae.